This 929-nucleotide non-coding RNA is filed under the name Patelloida saccharinoides. Its description in RNAcentral is "12S ribosomal RNA". It matches the Rfam family "Bacterial small subunit ribosomal RNA". Lineage: Eukaryota; Metazoa; Mollusca; Gastropoda; Lottiidae. The record is from RNAcentral.
CAAGAUCUUGGUCCUGAAUCUUUGACGUUGGCUGUUUCUUGCAUAGAUGCAUGGUAGUGUAAGCGAAGAGAGAGGUGUGUUUUAUAUCGAAACGGAAGAGCGUUAAAUACGCUCUCUUACCGAGGGGUGUUAUUAAUUAGAAGAGGAGGCCCCGCGAAAGUCUCUAACACCAGUACUGGAUAUAUAUGGCAAUGAGGGAAACCUCGACCUUGACAACGAAAAGAGGGGUGAGUAAGACUUGGUACCAGAACUCUCGGCGAAGCCAGCGCCCCAAGUUAACAUAUAACGGCAAAUAGGUGGUUAGGCAGAAAUAUAGAAAAGAGGGUAGUACGCAUCUCGAUGCAGAGGUCAAAUAAGAGGAUCGAAGGUGUUCGGCUAUUUACUGCUCUAUUGUUGAGUCCACGAAACCUAGGGAAUAGACCCGGAUUUGAGACCCGGUUAUUCUAGGCGAAAACAAGUCACACUGCCUGGGAACUACGAACCAUGGUUUAGAACUCGAAGGACUUGGCGGUGUACUAAUCCCCCCAGGGGAACCUGGCCCUUAAUUCGAUGAUCCACGAAACUCUUACCUUCUCUUGUGUUGUCUAGGCUCGUUCGUUUUGUCAACGGGCCUAGAUGGCGAGCAGUUUGCAUACCGCCGUUGUGCAGCCUAUAUCGCAAGAGGAAAGAAAUAGGCGACGCAGUAGGCUUGUCCUACUACUAAUUCAGGUAAACGUGUAGCCUAUGGGAAGGGGCUGCUGGGUUACAAUUUUGGUUUUUACUGGAGCUACUCACUGAGUGAGACGCGAAAGAGGACUUGGAAGUAAUGACUUUAUACAAAGAAGUCAUGAAUGGAGCUCUAGUAUGUGUACAGAUCGCCCGUCGCUCGCCCCGAAAGGGGUGAUAAGUCGUAACACGGUAGGGGUACCGGAAGGUGUCCCUAAUAUAUA